GGUCGGCAGCUGACUCUUCUCUGUGGCCGCAUCAUCGACAGGCCAGCCCUCCCCCCGGGGAGCUUCUGCUCUGGGAAAGGGGCCCCAGGACAAGUGGGAAGUCGUCACACGCAGUCCCCUCGUAUGGGUUCUGAUGUGUUUCUGGAACCUUUCUCCCUCUCUGUCCAGAGUCUGGGUGAGCUGUUUACCCCAGGCAGGCGGGGAAGCCUUGCCUCUCUCGUGGUGUCUGGCGCUUAGGCAGGAGGAUCCUGAGAUGCCUUCCCCACACGUCUGGCCGGCAGUGAUGGCUGCGGGCCUGGGCCCAGCGGGGCGAUUGGCAGGUCACGCGCACGCGGGCUCCCGCGGCCUGCACACGGCGGCCGGGUCUGCGUGUGAGCACGUGAGGCGGUGGAAGACCCCGGGCUCUGAUGACCCCGCCCCGGAGGUCGUGCAGUGUGAGCCCUGCGGCUUCCUCUUGGUGAGGGACCUGCUGGUCCAGACGAGACUCCAGAGGGCAUAUUCCCGUGUCAUUGUUUCCGUAGCAGCUCAGGGCCGACCUCAGACUGCAAACUGUCCUCCAGUGACGGCUCCGCCCAGUUCAGGCACAUCCUCGGGGGCGUGGCCUCCGCCCCAGCUCAGGUUCAUCCUCCGGGUGGGGGCUCCACCCCAGCUCAGGUUCAUCCUCCGGGUGGGGGCUCCGCCCCAGUUCAGGUUCAUCCUCCGGGUGGGGGCUCCACCGCAGUUCAGGGUCAUCCUUGGAGGCGUGGCCUCCGCCCCAGUUCAGGCUCAUCCUCGGGGGCGUGGCCUCCAUCCCAGCUCAGGAUCAUCCUCGGGGGUGGGGGCUCCACCUCAGUUCAGGAUCCUCCUCGGGGAGGGUCUCCGCCCCAGAUCAGGUUCUUCCUUGGGGGCGUGGCCUCCGCCCCAGUUCAGGUUCAUCCUCGGGGAGGGCGCUCCGCCCCAGUUCGGGUUCAUUCUCGGGGGUGGGGGCUCCGCCCUCGUUUAG
RNAcentral lists this long non-coding RNA (982 nucleotides) under Bos indicus x Bos taurus (hybrid cattle). RNAcentral describes it as "lncRNA (ENSBIXG00005016772.1)". Lineage: Eukaryota; Metazoa; Chordata; Mammalia; Artiodactyla; Bovidae. The record is from RNAcentral.